Non-coding RNA from Nicotiana tabacum (common tobacco), 2424 nucleotides. Lineage: Eukaryota; Viridiplantae; Streptophyta; Magnoliopsida; Solanales; Solanaceae. The record is from RefSeq and is a predicted model, not a curated record.
AAAAAGAAAAUUAUGUAGUAUUAAAAAAGGAAAAACACGUGUUAAAAUAUGGUUGGUGUGUGAUAUACUAUUUCAGUUGAAACUGAGGAUGGCCUAAAAAGGUGGUAUUUAUUACCGUUCAAACAAAGACAAGGGGUCAUAGGACUGCAAAGUAUAAGGGUAAAACUGGUACAAUGAGACAACUUCAGGGAGGUAAUUAUGUAUUAUCCCUUUUUUUAAUUUGAUCUAAACUUUUUGGGUUUAAGGCAUGAAGGAGAAGAGUGUAGGGCAGCAAGAAAGAGACAACUUGGAGCUCUUCAUCGGAAACAAAGUUCAGUUUCGCUUUUCGAGUCUCCUAGUGGGUAUAUAUCAAAAAUCAUAACGAUUUACAUUCUUACAAGUAAGUUUUCAUAUAUUGUAACACUUUUAAGUCAUACAAUAACCUCUCUUGAUUACUAUUUUCUUAUCAUACCCACUUCUGUUAAGCCUUUAUAUACCUCCUUCUUUAGUCCUAUGUAAUUGAAAUGCUAUUUUUGGUAUCUUUUUUAUCGUUGUUUACAGAAAAAUCGUUAUUUAGAUCAUUAGUGAACAAUUGAUGUGGAAGUAAGAAUUAUUGGUAAAGUUACUUUUAAAUUUCUGUUUUUACCUGGUGUUUUUAUAUUUUCUCGUGUCUACUGAUUUAUGCUUUUCUAUACACUCCUUUCAGCCAUAAUAUCAUGGUGGUCAGAAUUCCAUAUUAUAAUACUGAAAAGUUUCUCUGGAAUUGCCUCUUAUCCCCUACUGCUUUAUGGGAAAAUUGGAGUAAAAAGAAAUAGUGUGAAGGAGGAAAAAGAGCUGAAAGCAUCCUUUUUCAAAGUUUUCUUAAGUUAUAUUUCCUAGAUAUAUCAGUUAUAAAAGUAGUCAACAACCUUACUUGAGCAGGAUCAGUCACACAAUCAUGACUGACAACAACUAUUUUUUUAUACAAUUUUUGCCUGCUAAAGAGGCUUGUGUGUGAAUAACCUUCAAAAGAAGGCCUAGCUCAAAGGGGGUGGAUUUGUGUCUUAGGUCACAGGUUCAAGCCCCCACACCAUGCAAAGCAAAGCCUGGUAUUUAAGUGGAGAAGGGUAGAGGGGCGGGCCCAUUAUCCACCGAGUUUCGAAGGCUGCGGUUGGUCCAAAGGAUCAGCCCCAGACGGAUUUCUCGGUCAUCAAAAAAAAAAGAAAGGUACCCAACAUUGCAGCAAAGGGCCUCUCUGUAGAGAUCAUCACAAAGGUACUUAACCACCUCUCUCUACCCUACAAAACACAUCAAUGCUUUGAUGUUGUUUCUCAGCACCUGAAAUUAGUUUUGGUCAUAUCUUAACAACUCUUGAAUUUUUUUCAUGGCUGAUACCAUAUGGAGGUUUGCCUUCAGCUACCUCUUUUUCUGUGUUUGGCAUCUUUAUGAGGGAGGUUUCUGGUUCUGAAAUAUUUAUUGUGUGUCGCUUAUCAUUGCUGAAACAUGAUAUAACAUGUAUGAAAAGGGUAGGUAUCGUAUAACUUUCUAUGUAAACUGAGUCAUUAACAAACUUUUACUAGAUAUAAUGGUUAAUAUAAAAUAUGGAUUUAAGAUUGCAUUGUGACACAUGAUGUAGCUUCAACACCAAGUUAGUGCUAAAAGUAGGGAUGGUACGCGGGACUUGAUUAGUUCUGUUAACAGAAUUUUGUAUCGUAGAAAAAUGAUGAAAAAUCUUAAGGGUGUGAUUUUUUCCCUUUAAAUCAUGCUCGAGAUUUUAACAUCAAAUUCGCUGUUUGUAGGCUUAUAAAGACAAACUUUUAACACUUCCAAUCCUAUCUUCAUAUAUGAUCCUUGUAACUUCUUGGACCAACAAAAAACUAGAGAAGUUGAGGGGUCGAAUUUAUAACAUAGCUUCUUGUUCUUUGUAAUAGUUGCUGCUUUGUCUAUUUGGAACAUUGAAAACUUGAUAAAUUUUAUUUUUUAUAGAAGGUUUAGUUAGUAACUUAGUAUUGACAAGUUUAAUUUGCAUUUCUUUUGCUGUAUGUUGAAAUAUAUUACCUUUUUUUUGUUGAUUUAUGUUGAAAUAUAUACUUAGCAACCUUAGCAGGCACCGUAUAGAGACUAUCAUUUUGCUCUGCUACUUUCAAGUUUCAUGGGAUGUGGAUUUGCUCUACUUGCAUAUACUCAUGUGUAUCAGUAUAUGCAAUAUCAACCUACAAGACAAGGCAAUCUAAUAACAAACUAUUGAGAAACAACAGAGUUCGACGGAACGCUUACCAUGACAGCUUUCCAUUAAGUAGCAAGCUGAAAAAGACGUAGUAAAUGAGGCUCUAGAUUGGUUGUUGAAAGGCACCGUUCUUAUGUCCUUUUUGCAUAUAUUUUUGUACACAUAUGGUAAAUAAAUAAAAAAUAUGCUCAUGUUGUAUGGAAAACUUUUUUGAUUAUGAUUAUCUAUUUCAAUUUUAA